Molecule: long non-coding RNA, 1934 nt
Organism: Chrysemys picta bellii (western painted turtle)
Lineage: Eukaryota; Metazoa; Chordata; Testudines; Emydidae
Source: RefSeq, a predicted model, not a curated record
CCGCAGGGCUCCGGAGCAGACGAGUCCCACGCAGGAAGGUGGCAAAGCGAACGGGGAUGUGAGGGCCACGGACGCGUCCCUACUGGGUGUCUCUCCGCCUCCCGCGGGAGCGCUGAGCCGCGCUCGAUUUGAGUAUACUGGAGAAGGGAGAAAACAGCAAUUUGGAAUCAUUCACAAUUUUGUGAUGUAUCCUUGUUGAACCACACAUCCAGGACCCAUCUCUCCAGUGUAGAGAGAGAUCAUUGGUCCUUGAAUUGUAAUAGUUUCCCCUCUAGGCGUUGCUUGUCAGAACUUUCCUGACUGUAGUCAGGCAUUGUUUCUAAUAUUGGAAUUUGCAUUGCUGGAAGAUUGGUCUCUGCCCUUUCUGGGUUUAGACUUAUUCCAUUUGCUUUUGCUGUAAUCUCACUUUCUGUACAUAGAGGAGUAGCCAUGAAAAGGAUAUUUAGACCCGUAAUAAGAAUCUUUUCUAAUGGGCUCAUCUGAUGGAACAACCAAGUAUCUAAUCACCUUUCAUAACAUCUUCACAUAUGAUUCAGUUGGGAGAAGAUUCUCUUGCUUUGCUUCAUUCUGCGAUUCACACUGAGAUUGAGAGUUCACCUUCCUCCUAUGAAGAUGAUCCUGACUUUCCUCUUUACUUCUUUUUUCUUCUUUUGGACUUAGAUUGAACAGAUUUCCUAUUCUUUCUUUCGUGAUACCCUAGAUGAGGAUGAAAAUGAAUUAAAUGAUGAUGAAGAUGAAGAAGAACCACCAAACACAUACACAACUCUGUUCUUUUUGUCGUACUUUUUCUUUCCAUGUAUGAAAACCUUCGGAGCAGAGCCUUUAGCUCUGGCGCCCUCUGGUGAUGAGUCAGAGGAAAAGCUAUCCCUAGAAGAACAGGCCAAUUUUUCUCCUAAGUUUCUAAGGUAAUUUCUUGAACCCUUUGCCCCAGUUUUUAAUUUUACUCCUUCAGGGAGGUGGGGAUUGGGAACCUGGGUCAGAUGAGGAGUCCUGAGAACCUCUUUGACUAGCAGGCCUUGAUCUCUUAAUCUUUUCCCUUUAGAUAGUGGAUAGAAUGUGUGUAAUGGGACACUGCUGCGCUGCCUGGGAGCUCAUAAGAUGGUGGGCUCUGAGGUAAAGGCACUUUUUGUGCCAAAUCCAAGCGCUCCCUAACCAAAGAGGGAAUUUCUUCCUGAGGGGAGAUUCCCUUCUUCUGCCCUCAUUUCAGAAUUCCUGACUUCCCCAGGGUCUAAGAUAGGAAAAUGAAUUACCCAACAAGGGCCGGGAAGUGACCUGUGCUGCAGGAGGAUGCAUGCCCCAGAUGGUCUAACCAUCCACCCCUUGCUCUGUCUAUGGUGGAUUUAACCCCUGUGGUAGGCCACUGCCCUUUGAUGUGACUGCCUCUGGUGGCCGAAGGGCUCUCUUCAUUUUUCUGCCCUCCUUUGAGGCAUUUGCAGCCCAGCUGUCACUCCCCGCUGGUGGGGAACUCCUGGGGAACAAUCUCCUGGGUUGGGGUCAGGAGGCCAAAGCUAAACCUUUCUGACCCAGCAGAUGAGGAGUCUGGAAUGCACAAGGCACAAACCUCUCCCCUUCUGCACCCUCAGGCAGGGAUACAGAGCAGGAGGAAGGCAGCCUCGGUCUCCUGUUUAGAUUCUUCUCCUCCAUCCUCUUAGCCUUUAUCUGAGCAGUCAGGGGAUGUGCGGGAGGCACUGUGAUAAUUCCAGGAAGAAGACAAACUACCUCUUCAGGUUUGUUUGUUUGUUUUCGGUGAAUUCUCUCUCUCUCUAGCAGGUGAUUCCCCCAUCCAGCCAGUAACUAUAGGAGGCAGAACAAAAGUGAGGGAGUUUCCAGAAGGUGGGGACUAGUCCCUCAUCCAAUCAGCUUUGAUUCUGCCCCCUGCAGCUACAGACAGGGGACAACUAGGGUUGCCAACAGUCCCAUAUUACAAGGGACGU